This 769-nucleotide long non-coding RNA is filed under the name Pan troglodytes (chimpanzee). RNAcentral's name for it is "long non-coding RNA NONPTRT000782". The record is from RNAcentral. Lineage: Eukaryota; Metazoa; Chordata; Mammalia; Primates; Hominidae.
UGCCGAGACAUGGUGGCUGUGGUGAACGGUGCUGCUAAGACAUGGUGGCUGUGGUGGACGGUGCUGCUGAGACAUGGUGGCUGUGGUGAACGGUGCCGAGACAUGGUGGCUGUGGUGGACGGUGCCGAGACAUGGUGGCUGUGGUGGACGGUGCCGAGACAUGGUGGCUGUGGUGGACGGUGCCGAGACAUGGUGGCUGUGGUGGACGGUGCCGAGACAUGGUGGCUGUGGUGAACGGUGCUGUCGAGACAUGGUGGCUGUGGUGGAUGGUGCUGCUGAGACAUGGUGGCUGUGGUGAACGGUGCUGAGACAUGGUGGCUGUGGUGAACGGUGCUGCCGAGACAUGGUGGCUGUGGUGGACGGUGCUGAGACACGGUGGCUGUGGUGAACGGUGCUGCCGAGACAUGGUGGCUGUGGUGGACGGUGCUGCUGAGACAUGGUGGCUGUGGUGGAUGGUGCCGAGACAUGGUGGCUGUGGUGAACGGUGCUGCUGAGACAUGGUGGCUAUGGUGAACGGUGCUGAGACAUGGUGGCUGUGGUGGACGGUGCUGCUGAGACAUGGUGGCUGUGGUGAACGGUGCUGAGACAUGGGGCUGUGGUGAAUGGUGCUGCCGAGACAUGGUGGCUGUGGUGAACGGUGCUGCUAAUGUGUCUGGAAUUGGUGGAUUCUUGGUCUCACUGACUUCAAGAUUGAAGCCGCAGACCCUCGCAAUGAGUGUUACAGUUCUUAAAGAUGGUGUGUCCGGAGUUUGUUCCUUCUGAUGUUCGG